GACUAAAGGACUGAAUUCAGUCCAACGGUUGUGUCAAUUCCUCUCAUGCCCCUUCAGCUCUCCAGGAAACUUGGCAAGUGCAUCAGGACCCUCUUCAGAGCCCCUCCCACCUCCUUCCUUCUCGGGGGUACUUCUGCUCAGCUGGGCCUCUUAGCCAAUUAACACUCUUUGCAUCUGAAAAGCUCAAAUCAGCUCCUCAGAGGUGUGGGAGAUCAGGAGUAAUUAAGGCCUCUUUCUAAUGUAAAUCUAACCCUGAAGUAGGACUCUUGUCUCCUGGGGAAAUUUGGGUCUGGGGCUUUAGGGGAGCUGGGGAGAUGAGGGAGGUUAUGAUGACUUCAAGAGUAUCAGCCAGUUUGGUUGGAUGCUUUCCAGAAACAUGAGGUUCUAUUAAAUCAAAGCUGAUUCCACAGGGCAAAGGGAGUGAGAGUCUUCAAAGACAAUACACCUGGAUCUGUCAAUCACCUGGCUGGGAAAGCUGAUUAACUUGAAGACAAGCUAAGGAGAUGGGAAGAAUAAUUAUCCUCUCAGUGAGAUAAUGUACAUACAUACACCUCCGCCAUCCCCAGGGAACUCUCUGCCAGGACAGUUGCUUACAGAUCUUCACUGCUAAAUUGGCUCUUGUAGGGCCCAACCAUGACAAGCUCAAAGAGUUUCAAUUUGCCUUGGAGCAAUACCUGACUCCAGGAGAGACCACAAGCUGGGACCACCUGGGCACCACCCAGGAAUGGAUUUCCGAGGGAAAUUCCUAACUUUCCAACCAUUGUAGAUAGGAUCACCUGAUGUCCCUUAGCCUAAGCACACACCCAUUGGCUUUCACCAAGACACCCUUUAGACAAACGUCAGCCAAUCAGGAUCUUGAAGCCUGAAAGUGCCCUCAUCCCCAACCUCUACUAAGACAAACCCUACCCACCUGGACUGGGCCCUCUGCUCUCAACCGCUGCGGUGCACAGAUGGAGAGUCCAAGCUCGGGCUUACUUGAAUAAAGGCUCUUUGCUUUU
Long non-coding RNA from Mesocricetus auratus (golden hamster), 998 nucleotides. RefSeq lists it as uncharacterized. The record is from RefSeq and is a predicted model, not a curated record. The transcript has 2 exons. NCBI's taxonomy places the organism in Eukaryota, Metazoa, Chordata, Mammalia, Rodentia, Cricetidae.